CAAAACAAUAUUCAUUGUUU
This 20-nucleotide small nuclear RNA is filed under the name Arabidopsis thaliana (thale cress). RNAcentral describes it as "snRNA_07533". Lineage: Eukaryota; Viridiplantae; Streptophyta; Magnoliopsida; Brassicales; Brassicaceae. The record is from RNAcentral.